UUCAUGGAGAGUUUGAUCCUGGCUCAGGACGAACGCUGGCGGCGUGCCUAAUACAUGCAAGUCGAGCGAACCGACGGGAGCUUGCUCCC
This 89-nucleotide ribosomal RNA is filed under the name Bacillus haynesii. Its description in RNAcentral is "partial 16S ribosomal RNA". It matches the Rfam family "Bacterial small subunit ribosomal RNA", at positions 1 to 87 of the family's 1533-position model. Lineage: Bacteria; Bacillati; Bacillota; Bacilli; Caryophanales; Bacillaceae. The record is from RNAcentral.